RNAcentral lists this ribosomal RNA (404 nucleotides) under uncultured bacterium. RNAcentral describes it as "bacterial SSU rRNA". It matches the Rfam family "Bacterial small subunit ribosomal RNA", at positions 355 to 776 of the family's 1533-position model. The record is from RNAcentral.
UAAGGAAUUUUCGUCAAUGGGGGAAACCCUGAACGAGCAACGCCGCGUGGAGGAUGACGGUCUUCGGAUUGUAAACUCCUUUUGUGAGGGACGAUAAUGACGGUACCUCGCGAAUAAGCCCCGGCUAACUCUGUGCCAGCAGCCGCGGUAAUACAGAGGGGGCAAGCGUUGUCCGGAGUUACUGGGCGUAAAGCGCACGUAGGCGGUCCGGCAAGUGGUGUGUGAAACCAAUCAGCUUAACUGAUUGACGCCAUGCCAAACUGCAGGACUCGAGUCAUGGAGAGGUAGUUCGAAUUGCUGGUGUAGUGGUGAAAUGCGUAGAUAUCAGCAGGAAGACCAAGGGAGAAAUCAGACUACUGGCCAUGAACUGACGCUCAGGUGCGAAAGCGUGGGGAGCGAACUGG